Molecule: long non-coding RNA, 2135 nt
Filed under: Homo sapiens (human)
Lineage: Eukaryota; Metazoa; Chordata; Mammalia; Primates; Hominidae
Description: HSALNT0388464
Source: RNAcentral
GACCUGCACCAAGGCCGCCAGCGCGAAGAAGGCGGCCAUGAGUCCGUUGCAGGCCCGCCACAGCGCUGGCGCCAUGGCUCGGAGAACACGGCGCGGGGCGGUGUGGUCAGCUACUCCGGAAUGUGGCAGGGGUGGAGGCCGGACAAAGUCUGAAACAGGGUCAUCACCAGUGAGUGGCUCCUGCCUGUGCUCUAUGUCCAGAGUGUGUGUGUGCUGGUGAUGCUCCCAAGGUGACAUAUUGGGAACAAGGAUUACAAGGAUCAGAAACUGCUGCCCAUGCCGUCUACCUCCCUCUGUCCAGCACACCAGAUCAGCAAAGGCCAAGCCAUGCUGUCUCCAGGCUCUGCUGAUUCCAUGUGAAUGAAGUGUUGGGGCAGGAAAGGGUUGGAACAGAACAGUGGAGGAAUUCUACUAGGAGCAGUGGACGAAUUCUACUAGGAGCUAGACAGCCUUCUGCUAAAAUAUUUGAAAUCAGAAAAGCACCUCGCCACGGCAAGGAUUGAUUUGCUUCUACAAAACCCAUCUAGUCUCUAUGAAGGACUUGGGUUUCUACUGUUAGCAAAAUAUAGCCCGUGUUAUGAAAGUCUUAAAGCUUACGCAUAUUGAUGGACAAUGAAAAACACUUGGCUUGAAUAAUGUUCCUCAAAUAUCCCCUUAUGCCACUGAAAGGAGAAUAUGGUUAAAUGAACCCUCUGCGUGUAUUUAUAUCCACCCUAUUCAUUGGCAUGAAACACUCAGUGAGCCAUUUAUUCUAUCCAUUUAUUCUGUCCAUUUAUUCAAGACUUCCUACGUGUCAGGCACUAUGCUAAUAACUGAGGAUGUGACUGUGACCUCACGGGACACGGUGUUUGCCCUUGUAGAGCUUACAGGCCAAACAAUAAUUACACGAAUAGGUAGGGGUUCCAGCCAACAAUGGUGGUGAUGCUGAGAAGGAGAAGUGAGGCUGCUAUGGGAAUGUGUGAAACCAGAGAAUCUGACCUCUUCCCAGGGGUUCCAGAAACCUCCUGAGGAGGUGAUUUUCAGGUGUGCCCUGAAAGAUGAAUGGGUGAGGACAGGUGAAGACUUUAUGGACCAGUGCUUAAAGCCGAGAGAGAAGUGCUUAUGAGAAGACCAAAUCCUGAAGGUCUUCAGGGCCUGGCAAAGAAUGAGAGUACAAGUAGACAUAGAUGAGGCUAGCACAAUGCAGGUAAAGAGUUUGGUUUUAUCCUGGCUGGGUGUGGUGGCUCACGCUUGUAAUCCCAGCACUUUGGGAGGCCGAGGCAGAUGGAUCAUCUGAGGUCAGGAGUUCAAGACCAGCCUGACCAACAUGGUGAAACCCCAUCUCUACUAAAAAUACAAAAUUAGCCAGGCACAGUGGCGCAUGCCUAUAGUCCCAGCUACUCAGGAGGCUGAGGCAGGAGAAUCACCUGAACCCAAGAGGCGGAGGUUGCAGUGAGCCGAGAUCACGCCAUUGCACUCCAGCCUGGGCAACAGAGUGAAACUCCAUCUCAAAAAAAAAAAAAAAAGUUUGGUUUUAUCCCAAGUGUGCUGAAGAGCCCCUGGAGCACUGAGUGGGGAGAGCAUGAUGGGAGGUGUGCUUGGGCUGCCCCGUGGAGGAGGAUGCACUGGGGAGAGCCCAGAGAAGAAGCAGAGACUGGCCAUGAGGUGCUUGCAGUAGGCCAGGAGAGAGAUGAUGCUGGCCAGGGCUAACAGGGUAGCAGUGGCCAUGGAGGGAAAGAAGCACGAAUGAGUGACAUUGGGGAGAUAAAGUCAAUCAGACUGUAUGCAGGGAAUAAAAAAAUGCCUCCACUCCUUAUGACAAAGUUAAGUUUUCAAGGCUGGGUGUGGUGGCUCACACCUGUAAUCCCAGUACUUUGGGUGGUCAAAGUGAGAGGAUCACUUGAGCCCAGGAGUUCAAGACAUCCUGGGCAACAGAGCAAGACUCCAUCUCUACAAAAAAAUUUUAAAAAAUUAGCUGGGUAUGGUGGCAUGUGCCUGUGGUCAUAGCUUCUUGGGAGGCUGAGGCGGGAGGAUUGCUUGAGUCCAGGAGCUCGAGGAUGCAGUGAGCUGUGAUUUGCACCACUGCAUUCCAGCCUGGGUGACAGAGCAAGACCCCAUUGAAAAAAAAAAAGGACUUUCAAAAUCAUACAUGGCAG